GUGCUCACUCCAGCAGCACAUGUACCAAAAUUGGAACGGUACAGAGAAGAUUAGCAUGGCCCCUGCACAAGGAUGACAUGCAAAUUCAUGAAGCGUUCCAUGUUUUA
Vicugna pacos (alpaca) is the source of this 107-nucleotide small nuclear RNA. The record is from Ensembl. Lineage: Eukaryota; Metazoa; Chordata; Mammalia; Artiodactyla; Camelidae.